AUGUUUGGGCUAUUUUGCUUCCUACGGGGUGUUGAUGGUCCAAAAUGUCCUCCCGUCAAGGUUGGCGGGUUCGAAGCCUUCAAGUGUAUGCACGUGUAUCGCUACCGGGGCGGGUCUCCCCACGGGGACCUAAUACGCGUCAAGUGUCCAAGACGAGAAGAAAAUGGCCCCAAUGUUGGGAUACGAGGUAGCCUCCAGUGUAUGCACGUGUAUCACUACCGGGGCGGGUCUCCCCACGGGGACCUAAUACGCAUCAAGUGUCCAAGACGAGAAGAAAAUGGCCCCAAUGUCGGGAUACGAGGAAGUGGGGACAUAACCAUUAGAAGCCCGUCGGCUGCUUGCUGCCGCCGCCGCCGCCCUCUCGCGUACGGCAGUGGCGCCACAAUCUUUAUGGAAGGCAACAACCAUCAUGUGGGGAGGAGGCUUUGGGGCCGUCGCAUGGGAGAGCACAAACAACGACGACGCAGAUGCAGGAUGGCAAACCUGCUUGCAAAAGUUGGGCAAUCAGCCCCUUUCACCCCCGUCGCCUGCGUCCUCCCAGGCGGCGGCGGCGAAGCCGGACACCAAAUCCGGCGAGGCCUUCAACGCGGCGCUCAUUGGGGACAUCAGGGUGACCGCGCCGGAGUUGGUGCCGCCGUCUUCCUCGCGCGCAGCAGCGGGUGGGCACAACGGCCGGCGAGCCGCGCGACGGAGCAGGAGGCCGUGGGGCUGUGCCGCGGGCGCGCCGACCCGCACGCGGUCACCGUACGCCACCGCGACGCGCUCGGGGGCGGGCACGCUGCGCUCGACUGGUCGCUCCUGCCCAUCUCCUCCCUGCUCCACCUCCUUCUCGUCUCCGUGUCCGCUCUGCCGGGGCUCACGCUCCCCGCCACGGCAACCCGACGGUUGGCAGGGUCAGGGCGCCGCCGUAUCGGCCGAGCCACGCCACCUAGUGAAGAAAAGCAGCGGGGUUGCAUGGGCGGUGCUGCACCCCGGCGGCGUCAUGUUCGGCCACGACUACUUCACCGCCGCCGACGGCCGCGGCGUCCGGCGCGCCGUUACGCUGUUCGCCAGGGUGAAGGGACUCACCGUCCGGCCCCAAGGCUAGCACUGGAUCCUCUCCCCGAAGCCGCGCGGCGACGGCCGGUGACGCGUUCUCUCGGUCGGUCUCUCCGGUGUGCGUUCGCGUGCUUGUCGCGGUCACCGGCCUCCGCAUGCUGUCGAGGCAGGGGCGAGCAAAAGGGCACGAAGCCGGCGGAGGAGCAGCCAGGAUCUGGUUGGGGCGAGGUGCAGGAGGGCCGGGAGCACGGAUCCACACACGCCGGUGGGUCAGAGGCUCUUCCUUGCGACGACGGCGGCUCUGGCUCCGGCGCGGUCACCCUUCCAUCCACAGAGACGAAGGUGAGAGGGAGUUCGAGAUCCCGGCAGGUUCACCGGUGGCAGGUAUCCCACCCUCAGCCGUCCCCCCUUCCAUCCUCCAUCCCGCCCACGAGCGCCAGGAAGGGACGGCCUCCCUCAGCCGAGCACCCGGCGAACCAGCGUCCCUCCUCCCCCGCGUGA
RNAcentral lists this ribosomal RNA (1539 nucleotides) under Triticum aestivum (bread wheat). RNAcentral describes it as "partial small subunit ribosomal RNA". The record is from RNAcentral. Lineage: Eukaryota; Viridiplantae; Streptophyta; Magnoliopsida; Poales; Poaceae.